This 460-nucleotide ribosomal RNA is filed under the name uncultured bacterium. RNAcentral's name for it is "partial 16S ribosomal RNA". It matches the Rfam family "Bacterial small subunit ribosomal RNA", at positions 338 to 795 of the family's 1533-position model. The record is from RNAcentral.
CCUACGGGAGGCAGCAGUGAGGAAUAUUGGUCAAUGGGCGCGAGCCUGAACCAGCCAAGUAGCGUGAAGGAUGACUGCCCUACGGGUUGUAAACUUCGUUUAUAAAGGAAUAAAGUGAGGCACGUGUGUCUUUUUGUAGGUACUUUAUGAAUAAGGAUCGGCUAACUCCGUGCCAGCAGCCGCGGUAAGACGGAGGAUCCGAGCGUUAUCCGGAUUUAUUGGGUUUAAAGGGAGCGUAGAUGGGUUGUUAAGUUAGUUGUGAAAGUUUGCGGCUCAACCGUAAGAUUGCAAUUGAUACUGGCAGCCUUGAGUGCAGUUGAGGUAGGCGGAAUUCGUGGUGUAGCGGUGAAAUGCUUAGAUAUCACGAAGAACUCCGAUUGCGAAGGCAGCUUACUAAACUGCCACUGACGUUGAUGCUCGAAAGUGUGGGUAUCAAACAGGAUUAGAUACCCGGGUAGUC